GGUGCGGUAUCCGCCGGAGGCGGAAAAGGACUGAAAAUCCUAAUGUCGGCGGUUCGAUCCCGUCCCACAUCA
Molecule: non-coding RNA, 72 nt
Organism: Ostertagia ostertagi
Lineage: Eukaryota; Metazoa; Nematoda; Chromadorea; Rhabditida; Trichostrongylidae
Source: the annotation of a GenBank genome assembly